Molecule: ribosomal RNA, 159 nt
Filed under: uncultured bacterium
Lineage: Bacteria
Description: partial 16S ribosomal RNA
Rfam family: Bacterial small subunit ribosomal RNA
Source: RNAcentral
UCGCGGAUCAGAAUGCCGCGGUGAAUACGUUCCCGGGUCUUGUACACACCGCCCGUCACACCAUGGGAGUCGGGAAUGCCCGAAGUCAGUGACCCAACCCAAGGGAGGGAGCUGCCGAAGGCAGGCCUGGUGACUGGGGUGAAGUCGUAACAAGGUAGC